GACGGAGGUUGCUAGCGUUGUUCGGAAUUACUGGGCGUAAAGGGCGCGUAGGCGGCCGCUCAAGUCGGGUGUGAAAGCCCGGGGCUCAACCCCGGAACUGCACUCGAGACUGGGUGGCUGGAGAUCGGAAGAGGAGAGUGGAACACCCAGUGUAGAGGUGAAAUUCGUAGAUAUUGGGUAGAACACAGGUGGCGAAAGCGGCUCUCUGGUCCGAUUCUGACGCUGAGGCGCGAAAGCGUGGGGAGCAAACAGG
RNAcentral lists this ribosomal RNA (253 nucleotides) under uncultured bacterium. RNAcentral describes it as "partial 16S ribosomal RNA". It matches the Rfam family "Bacterial small subunit ribosomal RNA", at positions 524 to 776 of the family's 1533-position model. The record is from RNAcentral.